RNAcentral lists this long non-coding RNA (2094 nucleotides) under Nicotiana benthamiana. RNAcentral describes it as "long non-coding RNA (NBEN_LNC035222)". The record is from RNAcentral. Lineage: Eukaryota; Viridiplantae; Streptophyta; Magnoliopsida; Solanales; Solanaceae.
AAGACACUCAGUUCACCCAAGUCCCUCUACAUUUCAUCUCCUCCACCCUAAAAUCCUAAUCCGCCAUUGUCACCGGUGGUAUAUCUCCAAAUCCCACCAGAUCCUGACCAUAGAACCCCUUUGACCUUCCCUUACCCAAUACCUAACUAUAUCUUUUGAAUCGCCACGAAUCGGAGCCAAUUUCAAAUCUCAAAAGGGGAAGAAAAGCAAAAGCAAAAUCUCUUGAAUUCUCUAAGUCUCCAUGACCGGUUAGAGCAUAAAUUGGUGUUUCUCGCUGGAUUUCAACAAGAACUCGUGACUAAUACCAAUUUUAGCUCAAACUGGGUAUAGUGGUGGUCCAUUCAAAGCCAUGGUAGAGGCCUAUCCAUUUUCAAUUAGGUAUUUUAAGCCUUUUCAUUUUUUCGUCUGUUUAACUCAUCUUUCAUUCCCUUUUCGCUCCAUCUGUUCGUCUCUCUAUUAUCUUCUUCAGUCCGAGUCAGUUAUGAUUGCAUGUUUUCAUUUGAAAAUUGUAAAUUCGUGAUUAUUUUAAGUUCUUAUUUCCUUCAUCUUAUUUAAUUUUUUUUGCAAAGGAAGGAAUUUCAAUUUUAUGGGGCAGCUUAGUUUCAACCAGUGGUCUCUGGGUUCAAUUGUGAAUUGGGUUGUGAAAACCAAAGCCUAGGAGGGGGAAUUAAACGGGAAUGACAUGCCUAACAUUUGGGUUUGAUACUUGGGUCAAUUCGUCCCAGGUUGAUUUUUUUAGGAGUAAAUAACUGAGGCAUAAAGGGUACUAUGGGUAAUUGGGUGAGAGAAUCUCCCAAAUAACUAACUAGGAAGCUUCCUAGAAGCUGGGAAAGGGGACUAUUUUAAUGAACUGAAAAUUAACUAAGGAUAGCUAAGCAAAAAAGAAAGUUCACAAAGGGGCAACGUGCAAAAAACUAAAAUCUGAAGCUGCCCUACUUCCUUAUAUAUGAAGGUAGACCAUAAGAGAUAAAAAUCUGAAAAAAUACAAAACGGCCAAAACAUUUUUACUGUUCUAUUGAAAACAUAAGUGAUUUUUUUUACUUCUGAAAAAAAAAGAGUUCCUCUUCCGAUAUUCAAAAUGGAUUGAUGUUUGUUUAUUGAAAGUUGGAUUCAAGCUGGUUGAGGAUCACUAUUCCAUUGGGUUUUCAAGCUGAUUUUUUAGUUCUAAUUGCUGAAUCUGGGUUUGAAGUUUGUGGAUCAAUUUACUGCUUUAUUUAUUUAUGUGUUGACUUCAUUUGGUGUUUCUGCUCUUGAAAUUCAGGUAUUCAUUUUACCUUUCAAUGUAUGAGAAUGGAUGAACAUGAAGUUGGCUUAUUCAAGUUGAUAUUUGAAACUGAGCAAUUGUUUAAAUGAUGAAUCUACACCUUUCAAGCUAGUAAUUGUGUAUUUGGUUUGGUUUUCAAUAUGUAUAAACAAUAUACUUACCUUUUCGUUGUUCAAAUUCCUCAUGAGUUCUUAAAGAUUUCGAGUAGUAUGCUAGUAUAAAUAUUAUGUGUAAAAGGACUUCCAAGGAUAGUCAUAAUGAGUGUUUGGAGAUGUAGUAUUCAGUAUUACUUUUGCUAAACCUAAGAUAUUUGUUUGAAGCUUCCUUUUAAGAAUCUAGACAAUUACUUUGUUUGUUGGUAGAAACUCCUGGUGAUUUUAGGUAUUGAAUGACCCAAAAUCAGUAGAUAUAUUAAUCUCUAUGCAAGAGUAAUGUGAUCGGCUGUGUCAUUAGGAGGUUGAAAUUGUUGAAUUUCACUGCCUAUUGUUAGCUAUUAGAAUUGGAGGAAACCUGAAGUGCCUGGAUUUUAUUUUGGUUGUUUUCAAUGGAUUCAUAUCAAAAUGUGGGAGUCGGGGUUGUAGUGAAAGUAGAGUUAGAGAUGGUCGUGUUCUUCUUUUUCUAAAAUCUGCAGCAACUUACCUUUUUUUCUUUUUGUUUCUCAAGUUCCUGAAUAUUGUUGCCAAUUGAUCUUUGAAUGAGUAUAACUUGUUUUUUUUUUUGGAACUCUGGGUUUACUGAGAAUUAUUGGUUGAAUUAUAGUGGAAAAGAUGUCAUGUUGAUCACUUAGUGGGUACUACUCUAUUUAAUUAAAAGCUGUUGUUAUUUUGUUU